Molecule: ribosomal RNA, 512 nt
Filed under: uncultured bacterium
Lineage: Bacteria
Description: partial 16S ribosomal RNA
Rfam family: Bacterial small subunit ribosomal RNA
Source: RNAcentral
GACGAACGCUGGCGGCGUGCCUAAUACAUGCAAGUCGAGCGGAACUGGGGAAGCUUGCUCCUUCCAGUUUAGCGGCGGACGGGUGAGUAACACGUGGGCAACCUGCCCUGCAGAUCGGGAUAACUCCGGGAAACCGGUGCUAAUACCGAAUAGUUUGGCGCCUCUCCUGAGGCGCUACGGAAAGCCGGUUUCGGCUGUCACUGCAGGCUGGGCCCGCGGCGCAUUAGCGAGUUGGUGGGGUAACGGCCCACCAAGGCGACGAUGCGUAGCCGACCUGAGAGGGUGACCGGCCACACUGGGACUGAGACACGGCCCAGACUCCUACGGGAGGCAGCAGUAGGGAAUCUUCCGCAAUGGACGCAAGUCUGACGGAGCAACGCCGCGUGAGUGACGAAGGUUUUCGGAUCGUAAAACUCUGUUGUGAGGGAAGAACACGUACCAACUAACUAUUGGUACCUUGACGGUACCUCGCCAGAAAGCCACGGCUAACUACGUGCCAGCCGCCGCAGUAA